AGAGUUUGAUCAUGGCUCAGAACGAACGCUGGCGGCGUGGAUAAGACAUGCAAGUCGAGCGAUCGUUAACGGGUAGCAAUAUUCGUUAGCGGGAGCGGCGCAAGGGUGCGUAACACGUGGGUAAUCUGCCGUGAAGUUUGGGAUAAUCCCGCGAAAGCGGGACUAAUACCGGAUGUGACCAUUGGGAGGCAUCUCUUGAUGGUUAAAGUUGGGGACCGCAAGGCCUGACGCUUCAUGAUGAACCCGCGGCCUAUCAGCUAGUUGGUGAGGUAACGGCUCACCAAGGCUAAGACGGGUAGCUGGUCUGAGAGGACGACCAGCCACACUGGAACUGAGACACGGUCCAGACACCUACGGGUGGCAGCAGUCGAGAAUUUUUCACAAUGGGCGCAAGCCUGAUGGAGCGACGCCGCGUGGGGGAUGAAUGGCUUCGGCCCGUAAACCCCUGUCAUUUGCGAUCAAACCUUAUUAUUUAAAAGAUGAUAAGUUGAUAGUAGCGAAAGAGGAAGGGACGGCUAACUCUGUGCCAGCAGCCGCGGUAAUACAGAGGUCCCAAGCGUUGUUCGGAUUCACUGGGCGUAAAGGGUGCGUAGGUGGUGGGGUAAGUCGGAUGUGAAAGCUCGGAGCUCAACUCCGAAAUGGCAUUGGAAACUACCCUGCUAGAGGAUUGGAGGGGGGACUGGAAUACUUGGUGUAGCAGUGAAAUGCGUAGAUAUCAAGUGGAACACCAGUGGCGAAGGCGAGUCCCUGGACAAUACCUGACACUGAGGCACGAAAGCUAGGGGAGCAAACAGGAUUAGAUACCCUAGUAGUCC
This 815-nucleotide ribosomal RNA is filed under the name uncultured bacterium. RNAcentral's name for it is "bacterial SSU rRNA". It matches the Rfam family "Bacterial small subunit ribosomal RNA", at positions 8 to 796 of the family's 1533-position model. The record is from RNAcentral.